AAAACUUUGAGUUUGUUUUUAGGGUAACUUGUGACUUUCAAGUUGGUCCUGAUUAUCUAUUAUAGCUAUGUGGCCGUGUUCACUUUGACUUUUAUCAUUAAACGUUAUUCUUAUUAGUGUUAUUGGUAGGUGAAUAAAACCUUUUCUGAUCAGGACAGAUACUAAUUAAUGCUGCCAUCUUUCUUCACAGCAAAGACCUUAUGGCAUUGUGGAACUAAAACCCAAGCUUUUCCCUGGUGACACCAUUCUGGAGACGGGGGAAGUUGUUCCUGAUCUCCCCGAGACCCAUGGCCAUCACUGAACUUUGAAUAGUUAAUUCAUUUCAUUGAGUGUUUGUUG
Long non-coding RNA from Cyprinodon variegatus (sheepshead minnow), 339 nucleotides. RefSeq lists it as uncharacterized. Lineage: Eukaryota; Metazoa; Chordata; Actinopteri; Cyprinodontiformes; Cyprinodontidae. The transcript has 2 exons. The record is from RefSeq and is a predicted model, not a curated record.